RNAcentral lists this ribosomal RNA (492 nucleotides) under uncultured bacterium. RNAcentral describes it as "partial 16S ribosomal RNA". It matches the Rfam family "Bacterial small subunit ribosomal RNA", at positions 29 to 507 of the family's 1533-position model. The record is from RNAcentral.
AGUGAACGCUGGCGGUAGGCCUAACACAUGCAAGUCGAACGGCAGCACAGUAAGAGCUUGCUCUUACGGGUGGCGAGUGGCGGACGGGUGAGGAAUACAUCGGAAUCUACUUUUUCGUGGGGGAUAACGUAGGGAAACUUACGCUAAUACCGCAUACGACCUACGGGUGAAAGCAGGGGAUCUUCGGACCUUGCGCGAUUGAAUGAGCCGAUGUCGGAUUAGCUAGUUGGCGGGGUAAAGGCCCACCAAGGCGACGAUCCGUAGCUGGUCUGAGAGGAUGAUCAGCCACCCUGGAACAGAGACACGGCCCAGACUCCUCCGGGAGGCGGCAGUGGGAAAUAUUGGACAAUGGGCGCAGUCCUGAUCCAGCCAUCCCGGGUGGGUGAAGAAGGCCUUCGUGUUGAAAAGCCUUUUUGUGGGGAAAAAAAAGCAGCGGGUUAAUACCCCGCUGUUCUGACGGAACCAAAAAAAUAAGCACCGGCUACCUUCGUG